RNAcentral lists this unclassified non-coding RNA (409 nucleotides) under fungal sp. Its description in RNAcentral is "partial internal transcribed spacer region". The stretch from base 1 to 46 matches the Rfam family "Eukaryotic small subunit ribosomal RNA", at positions 1786 to 1831 of the family's 1831-position model. Lineage: Eukaryota; Fungi. The record is from RNAcentral.
AAGUCGUAACAAGGUUUCCGUAGGUGAACCUGCGGAAGGAUCAUUAAAAAAUCAUGAACCGUACAGUACAUACCAGCGUAUAUACUGUACGCAUGGGAGCCGCAAGGCUCUCUGAAUAUUUUGUGAACUGUGUGGACAGUACGAUAGGGGGUAAUAUGUGAUUAAGAGGGGGAGAGGGUUUAUGAGGUUGGACAUAUGGACGUAUCAUGUUAUGUGCUAUGUUGUAUGGUGAACAGCUGAACAACACAAUCCCCUUUGCCACCCAGUAUUAUCCAUCCAUCUGUUGUACUGUCUAUUUUGAUAAUAUAUGUUAUGUAUUGAUGAAGUAUGAUAGAGAGGGGGAGGAAACUCCAACCUCUCGAACAACAAAUAUAUUAUACAACUUUCAACAGUGGAUCUCUCGGCUCUU